This is a long non-coding RNA of Xiphophorus couchianus (Monterrey platyfish), 369 nucleotides long. RefSeq lists it as uncharacterized. NCBI's taxonomy places the organism in Eukaryota, Metazoa, Chordata, Actinopteri, Cyprinodontiformes, Poeciliidae. The transcript has 3 exons. The record is from RefSeq and is a predicted model, not a curated record.
AAGCGAGCAACAGAGCGAAGCAACUCGUCGUCUCCCAUCUCCGAUGGCGGCAGAACGAUACUGCAGUCCAAGAAGUUGUUGAUGGCAUUCAGCAGGUCCUGCCUGUCGUCCGCCAGGGUUUUGCUUCACCAAUGCACUCCUUGGGUUUUCAGCACGCCCAACCAAGGCCGCCAUCUUGUGGCAUAUGUGAGCGAGUUUUACAGCUUCUAUUUAGUUGGACUUUAUAUUCAGACAUGAGGGUGGAGAUUGAGCGUCCAAUCUGAUGGUAGUCCAUGCUGGUGGUUGGAGGUCCAAGCAGAACGAAGAGGAAUCUGACGGGCACAGGAACUUCCAGAACGGACUCCAGUUCCACCGCCUCUUGGAGCCUCA